Impatiens glandulifera is the source of this 1921-nucleotide long non-coding RNA. RefSeq lists it as uncharacterized. The record is from RefSeq and is a predicted model, not a curated record. NCBI's taxonomy places the organism in Eukaryota, Viridiplantae, Streptophyta, Magnoliopsida, Ericales, Balsaminaceae. The transcript is spliced from 6 exons.
CUCUUCUUUCUGCUUUUCUUGCCGAUCGAAAAGAUGCUUUUCUGCUUUUCUGUUGAAGAUCGUAUGAUUCAAUGCUACCAAUCUUCAUCUUCGACUCACAGAAACAGACGUUUCAUCUAAACCUCCUCUUCCGACUCACAACAACAGCUCCGGAGAUUCCCAGCAACAAACGUUUCAUCUUCUGAACCUCCUCUUCGUUCUCUGAGAAUGGAAUUCUUAACCUCCGGUGGAUUAGGGUUUCAUCUCCUGCAACAAUUUUAUAGAAUGGCGAUUUGAUGAAUGGUCGAAUAGAAGUCAGACAUUUCAUCUUCUGCAACAGACGCGGGUUGUAAUUGGGCAAAUCUUUGUUGCACCUCCUCUUUCGACAAUUCAUAACAACUGUCCAGCCUUCGAUUGGACUCGAUUUUAUAAGGAAACAAAGAUCGAUUAAUCUUCGCGCGGAAUUCUUGAGCAGCAUUUCAUAUCCUAAAGAAACUCAACAAAACAGCUGGUCGUGAGGUUCAAAUCUCUCUUGAUUGCGUUAGAGACAAAAACCUUAUGCAGCUAAAGAAACUCAACAUUGCUCUUUUUCCUGUUCGCUAUAAUGAUACAUACAUACCCACUCUAGAUUAAGGAGUUGUUGAAGACGUGUUUUCCUCGCGCUACCUAAGUUCUUUUUCAUUUGAGAUUGGAGUUUCCUUUAAUCCAGUGGCAACAAAUGGAUAUUGAAUAUACUUUUUGGCAAAUGCUUCACUUGUGCACCUCACCAAAAGUUGUAUGAUUUUAGCGAGGAUUGUCUAACUGGAAAAGGGAUUUGAGUUUCUUGGUGCACUGGGAAGUCAUAUCAGGUUGAUAGUUCUAUAAGAAUAGUAAUCAACAGAUUUUAGCGAGGCACCUUUUCCUCUGUUUGGUGUAGAAUUUUGUUUCAAUGGUGGCUGUAUCUAUUUUGAGUCUCCUUGGCGUAGUUUCGACAGAACCACUUACAUGGAAAUUGAUCAAGGUCUGGUUGCCUGUUAACGUUAUAUUUGUGGGCAUGCUAAUCACUAGCAUGUUUAGAUGAUUCUGAUUUUCUUUUUCUGCUGUCUGAAGUAUAUAAAUGUAGCCAUGGUCACGGUCUUGAAGAACAUUACUUAUGUAAUUACUGCUGUGGGUGAGAUGUACCUUUUCAAUAAGCAUCACGAUAACAAAGUUUGGGCUGCUCUUUUCUUAAUGGUAAGAAUUUCUUUAAUCUCCCUAUUAGCUUUUCACUCGACUUCUCCUCCAGUACCUGCGAUUAUUGUGACUAAUUUAAAUUGUCUCGUGGAAUCAGUCACUCCGUUAAUUCCUGUUCAACAUUGUCCUGAGGUAUCAAAAGAUUUUGAUUUAUGGUUUAUGAAAUUUGUAAGGACUUUAAGCUAGAUAGAUAGAGAUCACAAUUAGAAUAUAAUAUAUAGAAUUCUUUUGUUUCAACUGUAAUUUGCUUAUCCAAAUUGUUCAAAGAUUCAGCUCCUUACUCAUAAGCUUACAAUCCAUGAUAGCAUACAGAUGUUGUAGAAGCAAAUUUAAUAGAAAGGGAAUCCGUUGCAGAAGAAAGCAAUCCAGUUGAAGAACCAUAUGUAGGUAUGGAAUUUGACACAUAGGGUUUGUAGUGCGUAUGGACCAAUGUCCAAUGUCGUCGUUCUGAGGUUGACAAAAGAGUAAUUUCAAAAAGGCUUUCAUGCAAUCCAGGAAACUGAGGAAAAGCACAAGGGAAGGUUGCAAUGCAAUGAUGAUGGUCAAGAUUAAUAAAUCUGGGAAAUGGUCAAGUUAUUACAUCCUCUAAUUGCUUCUGACCACCCUUCUUUUGUUUCUAUGGUGAGUUAUUACAUCUAUAUGGUCAAGUUUUUUUUUCUUUUGUAGAAUUUGGUUAGAUUUUGUUGGCUGUUCUUUUCACAGCAAUCUUCUAUAUUGAAUGCAAAUACUU